RNAcentral lists this ribosomal RNA (743 nucleotides) under Escherichia coli. RNAcentral's name for it is "partial 23S ribosomal RNA". It matches the Rfam family "Bacterial large subunit ribosomal RNA", at positions 2206 to 2925 of the family's 2925-position model. The record is from RNAcentral. Lineage: Bacteria; Pseudomonadati; Pseudomonadota; Gammaproteobacteria; Enterobacterales; Enterobacteriaceae.
UUUAAUGUUUGAUGUUCUAACGUUGACCCGUAAUCCGGGUUGCGGACAGUGUCUGGUGGGUAGUUUGACUGGGGCGGUCUCCUCCUAAAGAGUAACGGAGGAGCACGAAGGUUGGCUAAUCCUGGUCGGACAUCAGGAGGUUAGUGCAAUGGCAUAAGCCAGCUUGACUGCGAGCGUGACGGCGCGAGCAGGUGCGAAAGCAGGUCAUAGUGAUCCGGUGGUUCUGAAUGGAAGGGCCAUCGCUCAACGGAUAAAAGGUACUCCGGGGAUAACAGGCUGAUACCGCCCAAGAGUUCAUAUCGACGGCGGUGUUUGGCACCUCGAUGUCGGCUCAUCACAUCCUGGGGCUGAAGUAGGUCCCAAGGGUAUGGCUGUUCGCCAUUUAAAGUGGUACGCGAGCUGGGUUUAGAACGUCGUGAGACAGUUCGGUCCCUAUCUGCCGUGGGCGCUGGAGAACUGAGGGGGGCUGCUCCUAGUACGAGAGGACCGGAGUGGACGCAUCACUGGUGUUCGGGUUGUCAUGCCAAUGGCACUGCCCGGUAGCUAAAUGCGGAAGAGAUAAGUGCUGAAAGCAUCUAAGCACGAAACUUGCCCCGAGAUGAGUUCUCCCUGACUCCUUGAGAGUCCUGAAGGAACGUUGAAGACGACGACGUUGAUAGGCCGGGUGUGUAAGCGCAGCGAUGCGUUGAGCUAACCGGUACUAAUGAACCGUGAGGCUUAACCUUACAACGCCGAAGGUGUUU